GACGAACGCUGGCGGCGUGCUUAACACAUGCAAGUCGAACGGAAAGGCCCUUCGGGGUACUCGAGUGGCGAACGGGUGAGUAACACGUGGGUGAUCUGCCCUGCACUUUGGGAUAAGCCUGGGAAACUGGGUCUAAUACCGAAUAUGAUCAUCGGCUUCAUGGUCGGUGGUGGAAAGCUUUUGCGGUGUGGGAUGGGCCCGCGGCCUAUCAGCUUGUUGGUGGGGUAAUGGCCUACCAAGGCGACGACGGGUAGCCGGCCUGAGAGGGUGAGCGGCCACACUGGGCCUGAGAUACGGACCAGACUCCUACGGGAGGCAGCAGUGGGGAGUAUUGCACAAUGGGCGCAAGCCUGAUGCAGCGACGCCGCGUGAGGGAUGACGUCCUUCGGGUUGUAAACCUCUUUCAGCGCAGACGAAGCGCAAGUGACGGUAUGUGCAGAAGAAGGACCGGCCAACUACGUG
Molecule: ribosomal RNA, 462 nt
Filed under: uncultured bacterium
Lineage: Bacteria
Description: partial 16S ribosomal RNA
Rfam family: Bacterial small subunit ribosomal RNA
Source: RNAcentral